Molecule: ribosomal RNA, 546 nt
Filed under: uncultured archaeon OS-29
Lineage: Archaea
Description: bacterial SSU rRNA
Rfam family: Archaeal small subunit ribosomal RNA
Source: RNAcentral
GCACCACAAGGGGUGAAGCUUGCGGUUUAAUUGGAGUCAACGCCGGAAAUCUCACCGGGAGCGACAGCAGAGUGAAGGCCAGAUUAAAGGUCUUGCCAGACAAGCUGAGAGGAGGUGCAUGGCCGUCGCCAGUUCGUGCCGUGAGGUGUCCUGUUAAGUCAGGCAACGAUCGAGACCCGCAUCCACUGUUGCUACUAGCUUUGUGCUGGGCACACUGUGGAGACCGCCACUGAUAAAGUGGAGGAAGGAGCGGGCCACGGCAGGUCAGUAUGCCCCGAAUCUCCCGGGCCACACGCGAGCUGCAAUGGCAGGUACAAUGAGUUCCGACCUCGAAAGGGGAAGGCAAUCUCGAAAGCCUGCCGUAGUUGGGAUCGAGGGUUGUAACCCAUCCUCGUGAACAUGGAAUCCCUAGUAAUCGCGUGUCAUUAGCGCGCGGUGAAUACGUCCCUGCUCCUUGCACACACCGCCCGUCGUUCCACCCGAGUUUGGCCCUGGUGAGGCGUGGCCUCAUUGGUCAUGUCGAGCCUAGGUUAGGCAAGGAGGGAG